Molecule: ribosomal RNA, 480 nt
Filed under: Malagazzia carolinae
Lineage: Eukaryota; Metazoa; Cnidaria; Hydrozoa; Leptothecata; Malagazziidae
Description: partial large subunit ribosomal RNA
Rfam family: Bacterial large subunit ribosomal RNA
Source: RNAcentral
ACGCGGUAACCUUGACCGUGAUAAUGUAGCAUAAUCACUCGCCAUUUAAUUGAUGGAUAGUAUGAAUGGUUGAACGAAUAUUCCGCUGUCUUAAAAAGAAUUAAUAAAAAUUGAAAUAAUAGUUAAGAUGCUAUUUUAAACUGUAAGACGAAAAGACCCUAUAGAGCUUAACUAUAAACUUCUUAUUAACAAAAAGAAAAAUAAUUCUUAUCAUAAGAAGUUUGGUAGUUUAGUUGGGGCGACUAUCUUUUAAAAAUAACAAAGAUAAGCAAUGUUAAUAAUUAACUUAUUGUAUAACUUAAUAGUUUAACAAUUAUUAAAAUAGGCUAUAGUGACCCGUUUUUACUGAAUAAAAGGAAAAACGAUCAAUUGAUAAAAGCUACCUUAGGGAUAACAGGAUAAUUUUAUUUUAGAGUUCCUAUCGAAAAUAAAGUUUGUCACCUCUAUGUUGAAUUAAGAUAUCCUGAUAAUGCAGAAGUU